ACGGCUGAACCAGCAACUUGGGUGAAUGAAUAGCAAUAGCUAAUAACAUCUUAUUAGAAAUAAUAUGUAUGUAAUAUCGACUAUGUCGACUUAAAUUCUGGGUGGGGUAAUGAUAAUGACAUUCCCUAUCUAUGUGUCUUGACCAAAUUACGUGCCAGCAGUCGCGGUAAUACGUAAAAGACUAGUGUUAUUCAUCUUAAAUGGGUUUAAAGGGUACCUAGACGGUUAAUAAAGCCCCUAAAGGGUACGUAUUAACUAGAGUUAUAUGAAAGGGGGCUAUUAGGUACUGUUGAGUGUAAAGAUGAAAUUUAGUCAUACCAGAUGAUAGGCACAGAUUUAGGCGAAGGCAUCUCCUUAUGUAAUAACUGACGUUGAAAGACGAAGGCCUUUGUAGCGAACAGGAUUAGAUACCCCAGUAGUCAUGGCAGAAAAUGAUGAAUGUCAUAGGUUAAAUAUAUAUUUGGUCUAUAAAUGAAAGUGUAAGCAUUCCACCUUAAGAGUAAUUUGGCAACAUUGGAACUGAAAUCAUUAGACCGUAUCUGAAACCAGUAGUGAAGUAUGUUAUUUAAUUAGAUGAUCCACAAAAACCUUACCAUAGAAUAUGAAUUUUUUAAAAUUUAACAAGCGCUGCACGGCUGUCUUCAGUUAAUGUCGUGAGAUUUUGGUUAGUUCCAUAAAUAAACGUAAACCCUUACUUUAUUUUUAUAUAAAGUUGUUCACCGCUAGAUUGGAUGUGAUAAGAGGGACUAAGACAAGUCAUCAUGGCCUUGAUGUAAUGGGCUAUAGACGUGCCACAUAUGCCUAACAAAGGGAUGCUAAAUUGCGAAAUUAAGCUAAUCCCAUAAA
RNAcentral lists this ribosomal RNA (846 nucleotides) under Vahliella leucophaea. Its description in RNAcentral is "SSU rRNA". It matches the Rfam family "Bacterial small subunit ribosomal RNA", at positions 379 to 1280 of the family's 1533-position model. Lineage: Eukaryota; Fungi; Ascomycota; Lecanoromycetes; Peltigerales; Vahliellaceae. The record is from RNAcentral.